UGGGGAAUUUUGGACAAUGGGCGAAAGCCUGAUCCAGCAAUGCCGCGUGUGUGAAGAAGGCCUUCGGGUUGUAAAGCACUUUUGUCCGGAAAGAAAUCCUUGGCUCUAAUACAGUCGGGGGAUGACGGUACCGGAAGAAUAAGCACCGGCUAACUACGUGCCAGCAGCCGCGGUAAUACGUAGGGUGCAAGCGUUAAUCGGAAUUACUGGGCGUAAAGCGUGCGCAGGCGGUUUGCUAAGACCGAUGUGAAAUCCCCGGGCUCAACCUGGGAACUGCAUUGGUGACUGGCAGGCUAGAGUAUGGCAGAGGGGGGUAGAAUUCCACGUGUAGCAGUGAAAUGCGUAGAGAUGUGGAGGAAUACCGAUGGCGAAGGCAGCCCCCUGGGCCAAUACUGACGCUCAUGCACGAAAGCGUGGGGAGCAAACAGGAUUAGAUACCCUGGUAGUCCACGCCCAUAAACGAUGUCAACUAGUUGUUGGGGGACUUCAUUUUCCUUAGUAACGUAGCUAACGCGUGAAGUUGACCGCCUGGGGAGUACGGUCGCAAGAUUAAAACUC
Molecule: ribosomal RNA, 558 nt
Filed under: uncultured bacterium
Lineage: Bacteria
Description: partial 16S ribosomal RNA
Rfam family: Bacterial small subunit ribosomal RNA
Source: RNAcentral